This is a long non-coding RNA of Oncorhynchus masou masou (cherry salmon), 289 nucleotides long. RefSeq lists it as uncharacterized. NCBI's taxonomy places the organism in Eukaryota, Metazoa, Chordata, Actinopteri, Salmoniformes, Salmonidae. The record is from RefSeq and is a predicted model, not a curated record. The transcript is spliced from 3 exons.
UUUUUGCUAAGACCCCAGGCUUCCGUCGUUCCAUUGUCAACUCAUUCAGGAGUGGAUCUGUAGUGACCGACAUGACCCUCGUGUACGACAAGCAGUCUUCGGUUCCCAGUUCAAGCGACGCACAGGCAAUUUUCACCAGCAGUUCCACCUCCCUGAACAUUAUACCAGGCAGCAUCAGUGAUGGGUCAUCAACCACAUCAGGAAGUGCUCCCCGACCCACUUCCUUCUCUCUGGCUGCCUUGCCUCUCAGCUUGGCUCUGUUAAUGGUACAGCUGCUGGCUAGCUAAUA